Patella vulgata (common limpet) is the source of this 857-nucleotide long non-coding RNA. RefSeq lists it as uncharacterized. Lineage: Eukaryota; Metazoa; Mollusca; Gastropoda; Patellidae. The transcript is spliced from 3 exons. The record is from RefSeq and is a predicted model, not a curated record.
AAAACCGAUAGAAGUUUUACAACUUCACCAUUCUUUCACGACCCUCGGACAGAAGAUCAAAAUUAAUAAUGAAGGUUGCAGUUGCUCUUGUUUGUAUGACCGCUAUGGUCACCAUGACAUCCGCCCAAGGUAUGGGUGGCAUGGCUGGAAUGGGCGGAGCAGGUGGAAUGGCUGGAAUGGCUGGAAUGGCCGGGGCAGGUGGAUUGGCUGGAAUGGCUGGAAUGGGCGGCAGAAUGGGUGCAAUGAUGAGAUUGCUUCCCAUUUUACAAGGUGCCGGUGGUGGUGGACAAAUGAACCCUUUACUAUUGAUGUCCUUGUUGCAGCAACAAAAUGGCGGCGGUCAAGGUGGCGGAAACAAUUUAAUGAAAACGAUGAUGAUGAUGAAAAUGAUGAAAACAAUGGGUGAAAACGGCCCUUUGCUUAUGUUGGCCAUGAACCAACAAAAUGGAGGAGGUUCUAGUAUACCAAUGCCUUUGCUUAUGAUGAUGCUGUCUGGUAAUAGUGAGGGUAUGAGUGGCAUACUACCCCUUUUAUUAAUGCAACAGGGGAAUAAUGCCGCUGCCCCUGCCCCUGUCCCGGGUUCUGCUCUAGGUCCACCUCCCAUGGGCGCUGCUGCUCUCAACGCCCCUGCCCCUGUCGUAUAAAAGCUGGUGUAGUUAUGCCCCUUUGUUAAUCAGUUUGGUGAUAACACACUAUAUUGUUCAUUGUCCAUAAUGUUUUGUAGAAUUAAUAUCUUUCUGUACAUGAAUUUCUACAUCUCAAUGAUCUUACUGUAUGGAAAUGAAUAAUCUACGGCUCGUUAUCUUGUUAUGAAACCGAAAGAUGACGUCAAAUUAUAAUAUAUCUUUUGUUAGUUA